Molecule: ribosomal RNA, 253 nt
Filed under: uncultured bacterium
Lineage: Bacteria
Description: partial 16S ribosomal RNA
Rfam family: Bacterial small subunit ribosomal RNA
Source: RNAcentral
UACGAAGGGUGCAAGCGUUACUCGGAAUUACUGGGCGUAAAGCGUGCGUAGGUGGUUUGUUAAGUCUGAUGUGAAAGCCCUGGGCUCAACCUGGGAACGGCAUUGGAAACUGGCUUACUAGAGUGCGGUAGAGGGGUGUGGAAUUCCCGGUGUAGCAGUGAAAUGCGUAGAUGUCGGGAGGAACAUCUGUGGCGAAGGCGACACCCUGGACCAGCACUGACACUGAGGCACGAAAGCGUGGGGAGCAAACAGG